GAUGAACGCUGACAGAAUGCUUAACACAUGCAAGUCUACUUGAACUUCGGUUUGGGUGGCGGACGGGUGAGUAACGCGUAAAGAACUUGCCUCACAGUUAGGGACAACAUUUGGAAACGAAUGCUAAUACCUGAUAUUAUGAUUUUAGGGCAUCCUAGGAUUAUGAAAGCUAUAUGUGCUGUGAGAGAGCUUUGCGUCCCAUUAGCUAGUUGGAGAGGUAACGGCUCACCAAGGCGAUGAUGGGUAGCCGGCCUGAGAGGGUGAACGGCCACAAGGGGACUGAGACACGGCCCUUACUCCUACGUGAGGCAGCAGUGGGGAAUAUUGGACAAUGGACCAAAAGUCUGAUCCAGCAAUUCUGUGUGCACGAUGACGUUUUUCGGAAUGUAAAGUGCUUUCAGUUGGGAAGAAAAAAAUGACGGUACCAACAGAAGAAGUGACGGCUAACUACGUG
RNAcentral lists this ribosomal RNA (454 nucleotides) under uncultured bacterium. Its description in RNAcentral is "partial 16S ribosomal RNA". It matches the Rfam family "Bacterial small subunit ribosomal RNA", at positions 28 to 507 of the family's 1533-position model. The record is from RNAcentral.